This 490-nucleotide ribosomal RNA is filed under the name uncultured bacterium. RNAcentral's name for it is "partial 16S ribosomal RNA". It matches the Rfam family "Bacterial small subunit ribosomal RNA", at positions 30 to 507 of the family's 1533-position model. The record is from RNAcentral.
AUUGAACGCUGGCGGCAGGCCUAACACAUGCAAGUCGAACGGUAACAGGGAUCAGCUUGCUGAUUCGCUGACGAGUGGCGGACGGGUGAGUAAUGUCUGGGAAACUGCCUGAUGGAGGGGGAUAACUACUGGAAACGGUAGCUAAUACCGCAUAACGUCGCAAGACCAAAGAGGGGGACCUUCGGGCCUCUUGCCAUCGGAUGUGCCCAGAUGGGAUUAGCUAGUAGGUGGGGUAACGGCUCACCUAGGCGACGAUCCCUAGCUGGUCUGAGAGGACGACCAGCCACACUGGAACUGAGACACGGUCCAGACUCCUACGGGAGGCAGCAGUGGGGAAUAUUGCACAAUGGGCGCAAGCCUGAUGCAGCCAUGCCGCGUGUAUGAAGAAGGCCUUCGGGUUGUAAUGUACUUUCAGCGGGGAGGAAGGGAGUAAAGUUAAUACCUUUGCUCAUUGACGUUACCCGCAGAAGAAGCACCGGCUAACUCCGUG